This 340-nucleotide unclassified non-coding RNA is filed under the name soil metagenome. RNAcentral's name for it is "partial contains 5.8S ribosomal RNA, internal transcribed spacer 2, and large subunit ribosomal RNA". The stretch from base 1 to 121 matches the Rfam family "5.8S ribosomal RNA", at positions 35 to 154 of the family's 154-position model. The record is from RNAcentral.
GAUGAAGAACGGCAGCGAAAUGCGAUACGUAGUGUGAAUUGCAGAAUUCAGUGAAUCAUCGAAUCUUUGAACGCACAUUGCACCUCUCGGUAUUCCGGGAGGUAUGCCUGUUCGAGCGUCAUUUGUACCCUCAAGCUCUGCUUGGUGUUGGGUGUUUGUUCCGCCUCUGUGUGUGAACUCGCCUCAAAACAAUUGGCAGCCGGCGUACUUGUUUCGGAGCGCAGCACAUUUUGCGAUCCAGAUCAACGUACAGCGGCAUCCAAGAAGCCUUAUUUAACGCUCUUGACCUCGGAUCAGGUAGGGAUACCCGCUGAACUUAAGCAUAUCAAUAAGCGGAGGA